RNAcentral lists this long non-coding RNA (3955 nucleotides) under Homo sapiens (human). RNAcentral describes it as "HSALNT0187331". The record is from RNAcentral. Lineage: Eukaryota; Metazoa; Chordata; Mammalia; Primates; Hominidae.
UUUUAAGUUUCCGAAUUUGUGUUGGGCCGCAUUCAAAGCUGUCCUGGACCACAUGCAGGCCAGAGGUUUGACAAACUUGAUGUAAAACCUCAGUAUAUAAGGCAGAUAGAGCAGGACCUCUUUUGUUGAAGGGGUGUGUUAAGCCUCCCCAGCCAUGUGGAACUGUAAGUCCAAUUAAACCUCUUUUCCUUCCCAGUCUCAGGUAUGUCUUUAUCAGCAGCGUGAGAAUGGACUAAGACGCCAGAGAAGCUGAGCCUGGAUGGACUUUUUGGAGCCUGUAUCCAGGCCCUGGGAUCUGAGUCCAUGUGACCACAACAAGGCAGACAUGGCUGCCAAUUCCAGCAGGUGCAGAGCAGGAGUCCUCUCUGGUUGGCUGUGCUCUGCCCCUCAGGCAUGGGGCCAAGACAGAAACAUCUGAAGUGGGUCUUCCCGGUCACCCCUGUCCACCUGGGCCUGGCCCACCCAACAGCUGGGGGUUAGUGCCUUGCAGAAAUUUGAGAAGGCUAGAGAGUUGGGUAAUCAUGACUCUGAAAGCCAGCAUCCACAGUCCCCCAGAGAGCCGGGCCAAAGUGGAUGACACCUCCAGGUUCUGGGGACUCCCAGGUUUGGAUUUAGGACUGAGACUGGAGCUAGAGGCCCAUAGGCAUCUCUACUUAUGGGGGCCCCGGUGUGUGUUCACUGCUGUGUGUAGGUGUGAAGGGAAGGGGUAUAGAACAUGGCUCCUCAUGGCUGUCUAGAGGACAUGGGAAGCAUUCUAGGCCUCAAAUCAACAAUGAUCCCAACUCAAUCUGAACCAAGAGCUCACCAUCAGGCUUGACACAGGAGACCCAGAGUCUAAGACAUAGGGGCCUCAACAACACUGCUGUCCCUUCCACUGGACAGGGUCCCCAGAGCAGCCCCUCCUAGGUCCACAGCUGCAGCCACUAGAGCUGCAGCCACUAGAGCUGCAACCACUGUUUGCUUGACCUGACAAUUUCUGAGAGCUGGAUGGGCAAUGACUCUGGUUGGAUGCUGCAGAGGACACCCAUGAGCUUCAGGGAGAGGUCUUCAGUGGAGCGGCUCCUGCACCAUCCUGGGCAGAGGAAUUGGCCUCUUCUACCAGCACUGCACCAUUAACAAGAUCCUAACCUAUUCCAUGUUAUUUCACAAAACAUACUUGAAGAAGGUGAGGGGGAAGAAUGAGAAUCCACCAUCUAUGAAAAUGGAGAUGGGAAUUCAGCUUGGACUAGAAAAGGUAGCACACUGCUAAUCCUCUCUCAUCUUCUCCAGGAAGCUUUCUAAAGCCUGCUUCUGUAAGGUUCUCUGGACCCAAAGUCACAUACUGGGAAGGAAGAGAAGCCUUUGGAUAAACAUCAUGAAUUUUCCUGGAGCAACUGUUCUAUUUAAGAUUUUAUAUAAUAUUUUUUGGAAAGAAGGGAAUAGGUUUUAAAAAAUAUUUUCAAAAGUGUAACAUCCAUCUAUGCUCAUUUUAGACAAUUUGAUCAGUAUAAAAUAUUAAAUAAGAACGUUAAAAACCACUUGGACUCUUACCUAUCAUAAAUAACCACUGUAUUACUGGAUUUUGGUGAAUAUCUUUUAAUUGUGUGUGUUUGUGAGUAUGUGUUUGUAAUCAGAUUUUUUUAAAUUUGAGGCUAUAUUCUAGUCAGCUUUUUAUGUCAAUGGAUUUAAGAAUAUGUUACAUCACUUUAAAUGUAAUGUAUGGAUAUACCACAAUUUAUUUAACUAAUACCCUAUUAAUGAAUAUUUAAGAUGUUUUCUUUUCUUUUUUUUUUGAGAUAAAGUCUCACUCUGUUGCCCAGGCUGGAGUGCAGUGGCGUGAUCUGGGCUCACUGCAACCUCCACCUCCUGAGUUCAAGUUGAUUCUCCUGCUCAGCCUCCCGAGUAGCUGGGAUUACAGACACGCACCACCAUGCCCAGCUAAUUUUUGUAUUUUUAGUAGAGACAGGGUUUCACCAUGUUGGCCAGGCUGAGCUUGAACUCCUGACCUCAGAAGAUCCGCCCACCUAGGCCUCCCAAAGUGCUGGGAUUACAGGCGUGAGCCACGCUUCCAGCCAGGAUGUUUUCAAUGAAAAAAGAUUUUUGAUGAUGUUGUUAUGAAACAUUCUUUAAUAUAUAUACUUGCCUACUUAUUCAAUUAUUUCUUUAUGGCAAAUUCCUACAAAAUGAGUCACAGAAAGUAUUUAUUUUGGUAGCUGAACACACACACACGCUCGUAUAGAUAUAUUCACACAUACACAUACACACAUGUAUACAUACGUAUGUAUGUGUAUAUAUAGACCUAUUCACAUGUACACACAUAUAUACAUACAUAUGUAUGUGUACAUAUAUAUAUAUAAAGUCAAAAAUGUUUUAAACUUAAAUAUGGUUGUUACUUCUUGAGAAGAGACUGGGAUUGGGGAUGCAGUCAGAGGAAUUUGACCAAACCUAUAAUCUUUUAGUUUUUUCACAGGGAGAAAAUAUAUGUAUAACUUAAAAUUAGUUAAAAUUAAGGGUAACAAUAACCAAAAAUGGACAAGAUAAAGUAGUUAUCAAGUGGCAAUCACACAUCAUUGCAAAUAAAAUGAUCUGCUUCCUUUUGCUGAAAAUACUUAACGGUAACUACUGGAAGAAUAGAAAUACGAUAUGUAAAUGUUAAACUGCUGAAAGAAAAAAACAAAGGGAACCAGGACACCUAAAACCUUGAUUAAUCCAACAAAAGUAAGAAAUGAAAAAAUUAAAAGAAACAACAAGAAAGCGCAUAACUAAAAAGUACAAGCAUGUGGACAAAUAUGUCCAAAUAUGCCAAUAUUUGGAAUUAAUAUGAUUUGGUUAAUGUGUCUAUUAAAAGAUGGCAACUCUCUGGAUAACAAAACCAAAUGCAGUUAUAUGUUACUUAAAAGGGACACACAUGAAAAAAUGACACAAAGUUUCAAAAUAAAGGAGUGGAAAAGAUGUAUUAACUAAGGAAAUGCUGGCACCAAGAAGUAGAUAUGCCAAUAUUAAUAUAAGAUAAAAUGAAUCCAAAGCCCAAAGAAUUCAUGGUCACAGAAGACUAUUUAUUUAUUUCUUUAUUUAGAGAUGGGGUCUUGCUCUGUCACCCAGGCUGGAGUGCAGUGGCAUGAUCUUGGCUCACUGCAAUCUCCAUCUCCCAGGUUCAAGCAAUUCUCCUGCCUCAGCCUCCCAAGUAGCUGGGAUUACAGGUGUAUGCCACCAUGCCCAGCUAAUUUUGUAUUUUUAGUAGAGACGGGGUUUCUCCAUGUUGGCCAGGCUGGCCUCGAACUCCUGACCUCAAGUGAUCUGCCCGCCUUGGCCUCCCAAAGUGCUGGGACUACAGGCGUGAGCCACCGUGCCUGGCCAAAGAAGACUUUUUUUUAUUUUGUUCGUGUCCACCCAUGAACCUUUGUGCAUAGCUCCAAAAUGUAUAAAGCAAAGAUGAUAGGACAAGUAGACAAAAAAUAACCCAAGGAUUGAGAGGUGCACUUUCCAAUAUAGUAGCCACUAGCCACACAGUAUAGCCAGUAGUCACUAGGUUAUUUAAUACUUCAAAUAUGGCUAAUCCACGUUGAAAUGUGCUAUAAAGUGUAAAACAUACAUUGGAUUUCAAAGACUUGGUAUGAAAAAAUAAAGUAAAAUAGCUCGAAUAUUUUAAAUAUUGAUUAUAUUUUGAAAAGAUCAUACUUUAGAUAUGAGUUAAAUAAAAUCUAUUAAAAUUAUGAGAACUUAUGAACACAAAGAAGGAAACAACGACACUGGGGUCUUCUUGAGGGUGGAGGUUGGGAGGAGGGAGAGGAGCAGAAAAGAUAAAUAUUGGGUAGUGAGCUUAAUUCCUGGGUGAUGAAAUGAUCUGUAUGACAAACCUCUGUGACAUGAGUUUAUAUAUGUAACACACCUUCACAUGUACCCUCAAACCUACAAUAAAAGUUAAAAAAGAUUGCAACCUAAAAUAAAUGGAUAAAUAAAAUCUGUUAAAAUUAAU